GACUAUACUUGAACAGGAUCUGUUCUAUAGUACAUCUUGGUCUGUGAUCUCUAUUGCAGACAUGUCCCUAGAGCCGGACGAUGACCAGAGGCUUGGGUACCGUUGCGCGAAUACCGCUGGCCAGAGUUGGUGCAAACCUGGGCUCGGCCCAGCCUGAUGACCGUCUCGUUGCGCUCAUUCCGCCGGCGGUGAAGGCAUCCAAGUGAUCUGUCGGGUU
Molecule: small nucleolar RNA, 217 nt
Filed under: Marchantia polymorpha subsp. ruderalis
Lineage: Eukaryota; Viridiplantae; Streptophyta; Marchantiopsida; Marchantiales; Marchantiaceae
Description: Plant small nucleolar RNA U3
Rfam family: Plant small nucleolar RNA U3
About the family: Small nucleolar RNAs (snoRNAs) are involved in the processing and modification of rRNA in the nucleolus.
Source: Rfam by way of RNAcentral